AUAAUCCUGCCGGAACACACUCUUCUUGCUGCAUUAGGAUCCAACUGGAAAAUAUAAAGAUGAAUUGCUGUAGGCUGGAAAAUCAAUUAGGAAAAAGAGGUAAAACAUCUGGUGUUACUCUUAGGAUAUGAAAAUUCAUUUUGCACAUUUAAAAUAAAUGUGCUGAGUUCAUUUAAUUGCCUGUUGAGCUGUUUCGUAGAGAAUAGUGGGGUGUUUCAUUGAUCCCGGGCAUUUCAUAGCAAGGGGCACUGGCUUGGGUUCUCGUUUAAUCUUAAUUUUAAACCAAUCUGGAUUGUAUUUCUAAGUUCUUUUUCACAUGUGUGUACUUCUUUUUCCGUGUACUUAGAAUGGUGGUUUUCAAACCUAACCAUGCAUCAGAAUCGCAUGGAGGGCUGGUUAAAACACAGAUGGCUAGGCCUAGCCCCCCGAGUUUCUGAUCCAGCGGGCCUGAGGUGGGGACCCCAAAUUUGAAUUUCUAGCAAGGUCCUAAGUCAUGCUGAUGCCGUGGGUCUGGGGCCCUCAGUUUGAGAACCACUGACUCAAAAUGAGGGAGAGUCCUUAUCAGUGCACAGAGGAGGGGGUCAUCUGGUAGGAGAGUAGAUGGAAUUCCUCGGACUUAGGGGGUCACACCCCACCGCUUGCAGUCCCAACUUCCUUACCCCAGAGAGUCCAGCACUUUCUGAGACCUUCCCUUCUGAGAUGAACCACACAUAACCCCUAUCUUCUCUACAUUCUUGGGCGAAGGGGGCUUUCACGCCCUUCUAGAGAUUUAUUUCUGCCACUUCUGAAUUCAGAAUGCAGCAGCUCUCUGUAAUUCAUCCAGCACUGGCACCUACUUUGUCAGCUCUGCUGAGAUGAGAGAGAGAUACAAAAGCAAAUAGGGCAAAGUCUUUGCCCUGGUGGGCUGGGCAGUUCCAGGAAUACAUUCACGAAGGCACUGAAGACAGUGUGCUCAAAUGGAGGCAUUAGGCCCAGGGCACAACAGGAGCCUGGGAAGUUGGGGAGGGCUUCUUGGAGGAGGGGACAUUUGAACUGAGUCUUAAAGCAGGAUGGAGUGAUGUGUAGGUGGGAGAUACAGCGUCUUUGUAUUACUGUGGGGCCUGGCCUCUGGGAAUAAAGCUCUCUUGGGUGGGAACCACCUUCCACUUUUAGGCCCUCUGGCAUAUAUUUCUUCAGUCAAGAAAAAUGAUGUUACCCAGCCAAGUCAAACACAGCCUCUCCCCUGCCUUCCCUGUCCACACACAGGCCAGUAGAGAAGGUUGGUGAUGAUGACGGUUUCAUUGUUUUCUCUGCGCCUUCCAGGGAGGCGGGGCGGAUACAGGGACUGGCUUUGUGGUCACUGUGCUCCUGGGAAACACACAGCCUGGGCUCAAGGAGGCUGGAAUACCACAAAGGGACCUUGUCCUCUGGCCCACUGGGGGACAGUCCCUUACCACUUUACUUGGCCCAUCCUCUGGCUGGAGGGAGAAACUGAGCAGUCAGGCUGUCCCUCCCGGCCCCAACUCUCAGCAGGCCCCUUUUCUGGCCUGAGAG
Molecule: long non-coding RNA, 1533 nt
Filed under: Lynx pardinus (Iberian lynx)
Lineage: Eukaryota; Metazoa; Chordata; Mammalia; Carnivora; Felidae
Source: RNAcentral